UACGGGGGGGGGCAAGCGUUGUUCGGAAUUACUGGGCGUAAAGGGCUCGUAGGCGGCCAACUCAGUCGGACGUGAAAUCCCUCGGCUUAACCGGGGAACUGCGUCCGAUACUGGAUGGCUCGAGUGUGGGAGAGGGAUGCGGAAUUCCAGGUGUAGCGGUGAAAUGCGUAGAUAUCUGGAGGAACACCGGUGGCGAAGGCGGCAUCCUGGACUACUACUGACGCUGAGGAGCGAAAGCCAGGGGGAGCAAAACGGG
RNAcentral lists this ribosomal RNA (256 nucleotides) under uncultured bacterium. Its description in RNAcentral is "partial 16S ribosomal RNA". It matches the Rfam family "Bacterial small subunit ribosomal RNA", at positions 524 to 777 of the family's 1533-position model. The record is from RNAcentral.